AACACUUCGUAGAGCGAGCCUUUUGAGAAGGAGGACAAGGACGGGGAGGCGGAGGAGGACGAUGAGGAUGAGAUUGAGGGUGAGGAGGUGGAGGAGGACGUUGAGGAUGAGGGCGAGGAGGAGGACGAGGACAAGGACGAGGUUUUAUCGGGGACGGAGAUAUUCAUUUGGCGAAAGACGAGGCCGAGGGAGCAGAGGAGGAAGAUGAGGACAUCAAAAACAAGACCGGAAUUGCGAUGUGCAUAGUGGUAGGACUGUAACACCAGCACCAUAAUUAACAGCUUCCCUAAGCUCGACCAGUUAUCCAUUGCCUUCAAUUUCUUUAGGCAAAUUGAAGGUUGUUUGGCGAUAUUGAUUUUUUUCUACCGGAACUACUUUCUUCUUCUUAUAAUUAAUCAACCCGCCUAGGCAGUGCAGUUGACUGUGGACUUGAGUAUUGGUAAAUUGACUUAUGGUCCUACACCCUAAAUUCUACGAGGUGCUCUUUUUUCUUCCACUAUAAAGCCAAAUUAGACACAGUAAAUUGACUUGUGGUCCUACAUCCUAAAUUCCAGGAGGCGCCCUUUUUUUUCCACCUUAUCGCCAAAUUCUACGCGGUGUUUUAUGGUUCACACAAUGAUGAGAGAUUUUUCAGUUUAUAGGAACACAGUCCAGUACACUGUACACCACUUAUAAAACAACUUCAAGAGGGCUAGUUUGAAAAUAUCCUACCGCAAAAUUUGAUUUGGUUUGGACCAAAUUUUGAUUUAGAUGAAAACUAGCAAGAGUGUCCGCGCGUUGCUGCGGGUGUUUAAAAUGUUUUGAUAAUAUGUACAUACAGAAAACAUCAUUUAUUAAAGCUAGACUUCUAUACCUAAGAUAGAGGUUGACAGUGAUCGUAAUUAUCAAAAGUUAGCAGUGUCCAACUGCUCACUGUUCAAAAGAUAGAGAUGCUAUAAAAGCUUAAUUCAUGUACAUAAGUUCAUAGUAUCAUGUACUCAAAAUAAUCAUAGUAUCGAAAGAUUGGCAGUCUUCAACUGCUCAUUGUUCAAAUACGAAAAUAUACAUAUGUCCAUAUCAGAAGGUUGGCACCGCACAUCUGUUGUGUUUAUGUUUUUCCUGUUCAAUCUCUGGUCUUGCUUGUUUGGGAAUGGCCAUCCUUUUUCUUGGCCACCAUGCUGUUGAAUUGGUGCCUAUUCUUUUUUGCUUUGCCCAUGAUUUUUCUCUUGCUAUAUAUUACGAAUUGGAAUUAGUAAGAAUUCCAUAUAAAAAACUAAAUUUGUCAAUCUAUUUAACCAAGAAGUAUAAUCCAGCAAGGUUAUUUUCUCUUUGUUUUUAUCAAAAUGAAUUCCACUGUUCCCAUCUAUUUGCACAUCCCUUUAAAUAAUCCAAAAACACAAAAGAAAUAUAUCUUGAUCCGUACCAAUUAAUGAUUUCCCAUUUACUUAAGUCAAACGUAGCCAAUGAAUUGAUGAAGGAGCUAAAAAAGAGAGACAAAAAAAAAAAAAAUCUCUAUUAUUCAAUUAUAUGGAGAUUUACCUGAUUGUACAAAAGGUUUGAAAAUUACCGUAAAAUUUGAAAUAAGAGAUGAGAUGGAGUGGAAAUCACAUACCAGCAUCAGGCUUAAAUUUGUAGUGCUCAUCUAAGAGAGCAGUGAUAGUGUUGAUGAGAGUGUAGGGAGAGAAACACAAUGCAAAUUGUAAGAGUUUGAGAGAAACCGCUUGAGGGACACUGCAGAUUGAUCGUUGAGAUUUGAGAAACCGAGGAAGUUGCAAUUUGAGACGAACUGCUUUGCAUCAAACGUGGUGGAGUUUCUCUCCUCCACGUUUGAAUAGAAGAGGUAGUUUCAGAGCUGUCUACAAUUAGUCCUAUCAGGAGCUUCUGCACUGGUUGAUGUCUUGGUCUUUUCCUUAGUCGCAUAUGCAUUGUAGACUUGGGUAGAUGAAAAGUAGAAAGAAAAUAAAAAUAUAAAGUCAAAGUUACUACUUAACUAUCUAUGUUGAUUCAUGUCCCACGCAUAAUAAGAAUGGUGAAUCAUUUUUCAUCUCGUGCACUGAUUUGUCAUUGUCAUUCGAAUUCACAAGUCAAUUUACUCCGAAUUUCUUAGUUAUCACCAGGGAAAGAAAAGUUAUAAGCAAAAUUCUAUUUCUAGAUUUUCUCACUAAACUACCUGUUAAACCAUGGUAAAUCAAAAUGGGAAAAAAUUAUAUCUACCUUUGUCAAACCUCUUGGGAUUCAAGUCCACCCGACUCCACCCCAAUACUCAGUGGCGCCCCAGAAAUCUUGCACCUUCAGUAGCCAAGAUCAUGCAUGUAUCAGUAUGAAUACGGAAGAGAAAAUAAAUGCAAUUUAUUAGAAUAAAGAAUAUGGGAUCAACAAAGUUUGUCCCAACUUACAGCGAGGCCAAUAAACAGCAACUGAAGAUAAUUUUUCGUUUUGCUACAUGAGGGGGGCACCCAAAAAUCCAAACCUGUCGAUACGGCACAACUGAGGAUGCCAACUUUAUCCAACUGAGCAAGGGGCUUGAUCUUGGAAAGACGGCCAUAAUGAACAACAAUGUAUUCACUUAAGUAAAAGUGCCAAGACGGUGAUUGGUGAACGUUAUUUCCCAACUGGGUUAGUUUGGCUAUUCCUUUCUAUUGAAAAGGAGUUAGCUGUCUGCGUGAGUCACCACAUUUUGCUUCAUGGCAAAAAUUUGAGGGAUCAAUAGUGUAUGGCCCUGAAUCCCAAAAGGAAAAAAUAACUCAACUAAGUAUAUACAAAGGGUAAGAUCAACAACAUUCCAUAGAACAAUUAAACGCCACUCUCUCAGUUUCGAGUACAACUGCACUUUGUGAUUAAAAUUCACACAUGUUUCACAUAUGCUAAGAACUAAUGUUCCUUAGGUUUUUCAUCACGAACGACAUUUGCAAUCUACUUUUCGAUUUCAAACCUUAAUUAUUCAUUGCCCAUUAAGAAAUGACUAUAUUUCAAACCUUAAUUUUAUAAUCCAAUGGUUUAUUCCUUCACAUGGAUAUUUGAUAUUGAUUUUCAUUUUUUCUACCGGAACUACUUUCUUCUUCUUAUAAUUAAUAAACCCGCCUACGCGGCGCAGUUGACUGAAGACUUGAGUCUUGGUAAAUUGACUUGUGGUCCUACACCCUAAAUUCUACGAGGUGCUCUUUUUCUUCCACUAUAAUGCCAAAUUAUACACGGCGUUGACUUGUGGUUCUACACCCUAAAUUCUAUGAGGCGUCCUUUUUAUUCUACCUUAACGCCAAAUUCUACACGGUACCUUAUGGUUCACACAAUGAUGAGAGAUUUUUCAAUUUAUAGGAACAGUCCAGUACACUGUACACCACUUGUAAAACAACUUCAAGAGGGCUAGUUUGAAAAUAUCCUACUGCAAAAUUUGAUUUGGUUUGGACCAAAUUUUGAUUUAGAUGAAAGCUAGCAACAGUGCCUGCGCGUAAUGUUUUGAUAAUAUGUACAUACAGAAAACAUAAUUUAUUAAAGCUAGAUUUCUAUACCUAAGAUAGAGGUUGACAGUGAUCAUAAUUAUCAAAAGUUGGCAGUGUCCAAUUGCUCACUGUUCAAAAGAUAGAGAUGCUAUCUAUUAGAAUACGGAAGAGAAAAUAAAUGCAAUUUAUUAGAAUAAAGAAUAUGGGAUCAACAAAAUUUGUCCAAACUUACAGCAAGGCCAAUAAACAGCAACUGAAGAAAUUUUUUUGUUUUGCUACAUGAGAGCGGCACCCAAAAAUCCAAACCUGUCGAUACAGCACAACUGAGGAUGCAAACUUUAUCCAACUGAGCAAUGGGCUUGAUCUUGGAAAGAUGGCCAGAAUAAACAACAAUGUAUUCACUUAAGUAAAAGUGCCAAGACAGUGAUUGGUGAAAGUUACUUCCCAGCUGGGUUAGUUUUGCUAUUCCCUUCUAUUGAAAAGGAGUCAGCUGUCUGAGCGAGUCACCACAUUUUGCUUCAUGGCAAAAAAUUUGAGGGAUCAAUAGUGUAUGGCCCUGAAUCCCAAAAGGAAAAAAUAACUCAACUAAGUAUAUAUAAUAUUAAACAUAUAAAGGGUAAGAUCAACCACAUCCCAUAGGAGAACAAUUAAACGUCACUAUCUCAGUUUCGAGUACAACUGCACUUUGUGAUUAAAAUUCACACAUGUUUCACAUAUGCUAAGAACUAAUGUUCCUGUAGGUUUUUCAUCACGAAUGACAUUUGCAAUCUACUUUUCGAUUUCAAACCUUAAUUAUUCAUUGUCCAUUAAGAAAUGACUAUAUUGCCCGGAAACUCUACUCAUAGUUUAUAAAUCUGCAAUUUUCAAAGCUUAAGCAUCUUAAGCAUCUUAAUUGGAUUCCCUACAAUUUGGUGGAGGUUGAAUGGAUUUUUCCUCCCAUUAUACCCUCGGAAAAUAUAAAUAAUCAUUGGAGACUGAGCAACACACACUCAUAAACAUAAUGCAUACAGAAGAAUAAAAUUGACAGAAAACAGAUCAAUGCACAGAGAGAUAGAGGCAUAAAGAGAGAACUUACAUCAGCUGUGCUCUCAAAUACAUAUGGUAAUCUGCAUACGAAGAAACAUAAUACUGAAACAGUUAUAAAUCAUCCUAUUCAAAUAAAUCAAACGAAAUGCAUAAAGAUUACCUUAGUUUCUGAUUCUAUGAUUAUGUAUUUGACUCCACCUCCACGUUGUUCUUUGGUUGUCUCUUUUACUGAAUUAAGUAAUCGACUGAAUUACUUAAUUCAACUGAAUUUAAUUAGAGAGAUGAAAGCUUCGGUAUAAAAUAAUAUUUUAUGCUCUACACGCAUAGCAAAUCAUCAGUAACCUCCAAGAACCUAAUUGUACGAUAAACACUCUAGCAUUAACUACCCAAGAAUUAUAAUCAUGCUUAUUGCCAAAAAUGAUAAACAUGUUUACCUUGACUUCAUUUUUAAUGGCAUAUGUAAUAUACUUUCCAUCUGCAUUAAAAUAACCUACUUCGUUCUCCUCGUUAAUCAAGUUGAAAGGUUCUGUUUAAAUCCCAUCCACAACAAAGUCCUUGUAAUCCUGCCAAAAGAUACCACCAAUCAAUGGCUAUCGCUUCCAUUGAUCCAAUUAGAAGAAGUAUCCAACAAUCUCCUCGACUGAAAAAAUUCUUGCCAAUUUAGAAAAGAACUAUUCCAAAUUACGGAUGUACUCGAUUAAUUUAACCAAGAAUAUGCACGGCACCACCACUAUUAAGAAGCAUCAACAUACAAAGACAAAAGUUUCUACAAUCAGUUGUUAAAUUGCAAUCAAAAACAUGCAUAGAAAGAAUAAAAAUGAGAACAAAGAUGGCAAAACAAUUAACCACACAUGUUGUUUAUCCAAAAAUGCUGAGAGCUUAUGCUUCUGUGACACAACGAGCUUCCUGCAUCACAUAUACUAGAUCAAGUAGGCGUCAUGACAUAAAUUGAAAAGCAGACAAGAUCAAGAAGAUCCAAAAUUAUUGAUAUAUAAUUAUAGUAAAUAAUUGCACAUCAAAAACUCUAGAGGAAGAUAGAUGAAUCUCCAUAUCAAGAAACCAAAGAACAUGACACUACUAAGGACCGUUGCUUCACAUGCAUAUCUGCUACUAUUUUAAAACAAUUAUGUUAGAACAAGUAUAAGAGAGAGGACAAAGUACUACUGAACCGAAAAUGAAAAGGGGGAAAACCUGGAAUGCCAUGCAGUGCCGAAAUCACUACUUAGCAACAAAAGUGCCCUGCUAUGCUUCAUGACGUCACUUUCAAAACUAUUAUCCAAAGAUAAUGACACAUACAAAGACUUCUCAUCCCCAGAUACAUCUGAUCUGCUGUUAAGUGCCUUAUAUUGUCUACUUGCUGCCAUAAACGCAUGCUUAGCAGCCUCAUACAACCGAAAAAGAACUUGCGUUGAAAUCCCCAACUUAUGAUCCCUAUUCCAAAAAACUGAGUUGCCAGCAGCUGAGCGCAGCACCGUUGUCAUCAGAUGAGGGUGAGGAAUGGCCUGCCUCUUUAUUCAGCUUGGAAAACUGGGACGGGUGAAGAAAUCCCACUUCAUCUUUGGGUUCAAUCAAGAGGAAAGAACAAUAUAUAAGACGACGGCAUUACUACAUAUUCCAAAAAUAUAACUGAGAACCCUUCCAAAAUUAAAAAAAAAAAGAGAGCACCUCUACACAAAAUCAUAAUGCACCCACAAUUACACACACACACCAAAUUCAAAAACUUAGCAUAAGAAUAAGGCAUACUUGGACCGUUAUCGAAAUCCCAGCCUCAGUAACAGUAAUGAACUAACACUGAAUCCACGUUUUGAAUUUGAACUAACACUGAAUGGACAUUUUCCAAAAAAAUAUGAAUCCAAGUAAAAUCAAGCUGUUACUUUUACAUAUGCAUGGAUCAACUCAUGCGGGAUCAAAUAUCUGUACUUUUCGACACGGAAAUUACACUUUGUGAAGGUUCACCAACCAAGCACGAAUAAAACCUAUAUAUACAAAACUCUAGUGGCAUUUCACCGAACACAAAGUCUGCGUCUUUACUGAAAACAGAGAAGCUAAACCUGCAAUCACUGAUUAUCUACUAACAUACAAGUACGAAUUACUUACAUUUGGGGAUCGGAUUCCAAGAUACGUUCGAAUUGAUUCAGAAGAUCGACCGUGUUUGCUUCGGAACGACGCAGCUCCUCUCCUUCCAUAUUUUCUGUUUGUUUCCCGAGAAAAUCCAAGGGAAAAAGAAAACCCUAGGGAAAAUGACAGCUUUAUACGAUGUUGGAACAAAAUGGUAAAUUAAUUUAAAAAAGAACUACGUGGAAGUUUUUUAUUCUUUGUUGCAAUAAGUUGCAGGAAAAAGUAAUGAUGCUGGCCGUAGAUGAUCCAGUUUUGGGCCAAUGUCACACUGACACGUAUCCACCUUCUUCGACUCUUCUUCUCUUGUGUAAAAUUUUGGAGCUGCUAUGGCUAUUCUCUCUCUACAAAUCUCUCUCUCUCUCUCUUCUGAGCAUCAAUCGCCGAAGGAUUUUCUCUCAUUUUCCCUCACUUUCUCUCCCGUUUUCUCUCUCGCCAAACACUCCAGUUCCUCAAGGAUCUGAGGUUUCUUCCACUUCAAAUCUCACCUUUUUUUUUUCUCUUCGAAUCGGGCAAAAAGGCAUUGAUUUGAAACGAAUAUUAUAAUAGAAAGGAAAGAGCUUUGGGGGGAUUCGAAUUUCCGAAUCUAGGGUUCCGUGAUCUGUAUAUGCGUCCGAUGACUAUGGGAAUCGUGGUGGAAGCGGCGUCGUUUGACGCCGAGCUGUUGCAGCUCAAUGAGGUGUCCCCUUUGGCCCUCAAAUCGAAUCCGAGCUCAAUGAGGCAUUGAUUUGUAAUUAGUUGUUGGAAAUGCUAAAGUUUAUAUAUAUAUAUUUUUUAAUUAGGAUACCUAUGAUUUACAUACUACAUAUUGUUUCAUCUUUUCGGAUGCAUGACAGUUUUUUUCAUUUUCCCGACUUUAUGGUUGCAGGUGACACAACUGCUAACUGAAGCAAAGGCAGGUAGGCCCCUGAAUGUUCAGGGAAAUUCUUCUAGUCCACAUGCCACUGCAGGCAGUACUUUGCCUUCUAUGUUUCCAGCAGGCAGUGCACCACCACUGUCACCAAGAAGUUCAUCUGGAUCCCCUCGCAUUAUGAAACAGAGGAUCGGUCCUUCUCAUUUAGGUUCUCCCCUGAAAGUAGUUAGCGAAUCAGUUAAAGAAGUGAUACCUAUUAAACUAAACAUGGUAAAUACCAAUAUUAAACUAAACAUGGUAAAUACAAAAAAUAUAUAUGAUAAUAUUUGGGAAUUUCUUAUAUAUUCAUUAAUCUUCAAAGUGGAGUAUAUAUAGGAGUUACAAUUGGUAUUACAUAUGUACUUCACCAAUGUGGGAACAAUAAACUGCUAUUUACACUUUAACUAAUGUAUAACUCGCAACACUCCCCCUCAAGUUGGUGCAAAGAUGUCACGCAUGCCCAACUUGUCAAGCGAGUCGGAAACGCACUAUUAGACACAGCCUUAGUAAGAGCAUCAGCAAGUUGAUCUUCAGAUCUCACAAACGGAAACAUAAUAAUUCCAGCAUCCAAUUUUUCCUUAAUGAAAUGUCGAUCAAUCUCCACAUGUUUUGUUCGAUCAUGUUGCACUGGAUUAUGAGCAAUCUCAAUAGCAGCCUUGUUAUCAUAAUGAAGUUUCAUAGCACCUUUGUGUUUAAACUCAAGAUCUCUCAACAAUUUUUCCAACCACAACAACUCACAUACACCAUGAGACAUACCACGAAACUCAGCUUCUGCACUUGACUUAGCCACCACUUUUUGUUUCUUGCUUAUCCAAGUAACUAAAUUACCACCCACAAACAUAAAGUAUCCAGAUGUAGAUCGCCGAUCAGUGAUAGAAUCUGCCCAAUUUGCAUCUAUAUACCCUUCGACAUUCAAAUGAUCAUUCUUGGAGAAAACCAGGCAUCUGCCAGGAGCCAUCUUCAAGUACCUCAAAAUACGGGUUACUGCAUCCAUAUGAGCUUCACUAGGUGAGUGCAUAAACUGACUUACCACACUAACUGCAUAAGCAAUGUCAGGGCGAGUGUGAGACAAAUAAAUUAAUCUCACCACAAGCCUUUGAUACCGUUCCUUAUGAGUAGGAACUUGAUCUGGAAAUAAGCCCAGACGAUGAUUCUGCUCAAUCGGAGUAUCAACAGGUUUGCAAUCUAACAUACAUGUUUCAGCUAACAAAUCAAGAACAUACUUCCUUCCAAGAAAAUACUUCAAUUCACCCAAUUCUUUCAUCUCAAACUCAGUAGCUAGGUACUUUUGAAGGUGCUGUAUCUCUUUCUGAUCAUCACCAGUCACUAUCAUGUCAUCAACAUAAAUAAUCAAUGCAGUUAGCUUACCAUUUUGUCGCUUUAGAAACAAAGUAUGAUCUGAAUGACUUUGGAUAUACCCAAACUUCUUCAUUAAACUUGUAAACCUCCCAAACCAUGCUCUAGGAGAUUGUUUCAAACCAUACAAGGCUUUUCGUAACCUGCAUACAACACCUUUUUCAGGAGACGUUCCAAUACCAGGUGGGAGAUCCAUAUACACUUACUCCUUAAGAUCACCUUGAAGGAAAGCAUUCUUAACAUCAAACUGCAACAGAGGCCAAUCCUGGUUUGCUACUAAGGACAGAAGAACACGCACAAUAUUAAGUUUGGCAACAGGAGCAAAGGUCUCCUGAUAGUCCACCCCAUAGGUUUGAGUAUAAUCCUUAGCAACUAAUCUGGCUUUAUACCGAUCAAUAGAAACAUCUACUUUGUGCUUAAUAGUAAACACCCAUCUACAUCCAAUGACUUUCUUCCCAUUUGGUAAUGGAACCAAAUCCUAAGUAGAAUUCUUUUUCAAAGCUUCCAUCUCAACUUUCAUGGCAUUAACCCACUUAGGGUCAGACAAAGCAUCUUGCAAUUUUGUUGGAAUUGAUACACUAGAUAGCUGACAUAUGUAAGAUGCAUAUGGUUGGGACAAACGAUGAGUAGACACAUAAUUGUUGAUAGGAUAUUUGGCUUUAACAUGCAUAUCAGGCUCAUAUUGUACUUUAGGUUUUCCACGAUUAGCUCGUGGAGGCAACUGAUAAGUAGAAGAAUCGUCAGAAUUUACCUCAUGUAUGCCACCAUCUUAUACCAAACUGUUAGAAGAAUCAUCACUGGACGAACCAUCAUCAGACAACUCGUUAGACAUAUCAGCAGCAGGCAACCGAUCAUCAGAAGGUAAUUCAUCAGACAUACUAACAGGCAAUUUGCUGGGCACAUCUGAUUUGUCGUUAGUAGAAAUAGUUCCGGGAAUGACAGGUGACCGAUCACUAUCUAUAACCGACUGAUUAGUAUCACGCAACAUAAUAGGUUAUGUUCCCAACUCUGUCUGUAACACAUCAUCCAUAUCAUCUCUUCGAAUCUGCACUUCACUCCUCCUCUCCCCCUGAAGUGGAAAGUCGGAAGAGGGCUUUACAAAAUACGAAACUUCCUCUUGGAAGGUGACAUCCAUGGUAAUAUAAGUUUUUUGAGUCGGAGGAUGAUAACACUUAUAGCCUUUUUGAUUGUUAGCAUACCCAAUAAAGACACACCGGAGAGCACAUGCAUCAAGUUUACUCCGCUGAUGAGAGUAGACAUGCACAUACACAAUACACCAAAACACUUUCGGAGGAAGCUUUGAGACAGAAACAAGAGAAACAUGUUUUUGUAGCACAUCAAACGGUGUCUGAAAAUCAAGAACCCUACUUGGAACACGAUUGAUCAAAUACACAGCAGCCAAAACAACAUGACCCCACAAAUGAUUAGGAACACAUUUAUCCAACAUCAAGGAGCGAGCAACCUCCAUUAUUUGACGAUUCUUCCGUUCGGACACACCAUUUUGUUGGGGUGUAAACGGAGUAGUUGUCUGGUGAAUCAUACCAUGAUCACGGAAAAAACAUGCCAAAAUGUGAUUCACAUAUUCUCCUCCGUUAUCAGACCUAAAGACCUUAACUUUGGUCUGAAACUGAGUAGACACCAUUGUACAAAAUUCUUGAAGAAGUAACGGAACAUCACUCUUAUUUUUCAUCAAGAACACCCAAGUUACCCGAGUACAAUCAUCAAUAAAAGUAACAAACCAACAGAAUCCAUUAGAAGUAACUUUCGCAGGACCCCACACAUCAGAAUAUAUCAAAUCAAAUGACAAAGUAGCUGUAGAAUCACUUACAUGAAAUGAAGCACAAUGACUCUUAGCCAUGACACAUGUUUCACACUUGAACUCUGAAUCACUACAAGUGCGAAACAAAGAAGGAAAUAGAUGCUUCAUAUAACUGAAUGAUGGAUGUCCUAAUCGUCGAUGCCAUAACCAAAUUUGAUGUCUGUCAUCCACUUUAGCUCUUAAACUUGAUGAUUAUUUGAACCGGAAACAACAGUAUCCUCCAUAGUCAAGAUGUACAAACCCCCUAUCCUUUUACCAUAACUAAUUAUCUUCUAAGUUUGAAUAUCUUGAAAAUAACAAUACGUAGGGUAGAAGUGAGCAGAACAAUAUAAAGUAUCAAGAAGUUUUCCUACCGACAAAAGAUUGUACUUAACAUCAGGAACAAGUAAAGCACGAACCAGUGAUAAGGUUGGAGUCAGAGAGAUAGUGUCUUCACCCUUCACAGGGGAAAGUGCUCCAUUUGCACUAGUAAUAUACGGAUCACGAACAUAGUCACAUAACUCAUCAAACACUCUAGGGUCACUAGUCACAUGAUCAGUGGCCUCAGUAUCAAUUAUCCAUUUAUUUGUUCCACCAAGAUGCAUAACAACACUAUGAUUAUAUUGAGCCAUUGAACAAAAUCACGAACAAUAAAAGCACAAAAGAUACGCAACGGAAUGAAAACAAUUUAUCAGAAUACUGUAGCAAUCACUGUUCACGGCACUGUAGCAAAGACUAUUCACGGCAAUGUAGCAAUCACUGUUCACGGCACUGUAGAAGACCACAGUUCACGCACUAUAGCAAAGCACUGUACUGUAGCCCGACACUUUUUUUUUUUUUUUCCCACACGGAGGAAAUCACGAAAAAUGUGGGCACAAAAUUAAAGCACACAGGUCACCAAGAGCGAACUGCUCUGAUGCCAUAUUAAACUAAACAUGGUAAAUACCAAAAAUAUAUAUGAUAAUAUUUGGGAAUUUCUUAUAUAUCCAUUAAUCUCCAAAGUGGAGUAUAUAUAGGAGUUACAAUUGGUAUUACAUACGUACUUCACCAAUGUGGGACAAUAAACUAUUAUUUACACUUUAACUAAUGUAUAACUCGCAACAAUACCUCAGGUUUGACAAAUCCUAAUCCUUUUCGGCAAUAAGAGUGGCACUAUUUUUUAUUUCUUUUGUUUUGCGUUGUAUUUGUCAUUUGAACUAUCUAGCUGUAAUGGUUUUCUUUAAUUAGAGGGAAAGGUAGGUUAUUAUUUCUAACUUGGAUUUUGUACCACUUGCAGUUUUACUUUCUAAAUGGUCGCCCGCCUCCAAAUGAACUAAAAGAUCAAUGCUUAUUAGAAUCAAUCAGUUUUUCUCUGGUAACUCAGACGGACUGCAGAUUCAUGGUGAGAUAUACUUAAGAUAUGAGUUUGUGUUGUACAACUAGAAUUAGCUUUUAACUGUCUCCUUGGUCGUACCCAGUGCACAAGGCUCCCGCUUUACGCAGGGUCUGGGAGAGGUGAAUGUCGGCUAGCCUUACCCCCAUUUAUGGAGAGGCUGCUCCCAAGUCUCGAACCCGAGACCUACCGCUCAUGGGCGAAGGCACUUGCCAUCGCACCAAGUGCGACCUCUAACUGUCUCCUUGGUGUAUCAGAAUUUAAAUCAGUUGCUAAGGAUAUAUGCAAGCGGCCCUCAUUCUUCUCCAUAUCUCUUUUCAGAAAAAUUGAUGCUAAGAGCAGUUCCAGCGUUGGCUGGUGCUCGGGGGAAAGGCUAGUGAACAGGGCCAGAUAGCCCGACUGAAGUGCUCCAGCGUGUGGGAACUCGAGGGACAGGGCAAGACUGAGCAACAAGCCCGUGAGGAAUUGCUAGCCCGCGAGCCCGAGUGGAUGUGACGCCAGGGCUGACGUCAUCCUGGCGUCAGCCCAAUUAUAUAUAUAUUUUUGUCAGGCGCGUGCCCCUCACCUGCACGUGGGGGCGCGUCAGCCAACACCUUUUCAGGAGCCGGGCCCACGUCACAAUUUGCCAAUGUUACUGUUGGAAAGACACGUGGCUUCCCACGGUCCGUUUGAUCUCAAUGGUCUAUUGGUAAUAUUCACUUUUUGUCAUUGCUUGUGAAAGGGUGUAGUUUCAAAGUUGUUAUCCCCACCCCCUUUCAAUAUCUUUCCUAGCUGUGGUUUAUCUUAUGUAACCACAACUAUUUUCCUUUACUUUUAAAAUGUCUCGAUUCUUGUUCACCAACCCUAUUACCCCACUUUAAGGUGCAUGAAUCUUUCUCUCUGAAGUGGAUAAACAAUGCCCUUUAUAAGGGUUGAUUGCGGAGAAGGGGUCAAGUAGCUUUCCUGGAGGCGCUUUUUUUUUCUGAGCUGACUUGUAGUGAACUCUUGGUUUAACUAAUAUUGUUACCUCACCUUACUAUAAAUUCUGGGUGGCCCCUGCUCUAGUCAUCCGGACAAGAAAACGGUACAGCUUGAGGAGAAGCUUGAGAUAGAUAUCAUCGGACUUGGGGCGCUUCGUCUUCUUGCUUUUACCUCCUGCCACGAGAACAAUCUUCAUUGUUGUUGCUGGUGUUGAAGUUCGGUUGCUCGGGACGCCUUUCGUUGGGCCUUUAUUUGGCCAAUUCAUUGAUCAAAUAUGGGAUCCUGUACUGCCAUAUGGUUGAGCCAACGAUGAAAACAGUAGGAGAAAAAGAGUGAACCCUCCCCCCCCCCAAAAAAAAAAAGUCUUGUACCCAUGAGAAAGGCUUGUAAUGGUACCAUCAUUGUUGGCAACAAUUUUUGCUGGUGGUGGUUACGACAAGGAAGUUGGGAACAAUGAUGUGGCUGAGGGCUUUGCAGAUCUUAUUGCUUAUGGUCCUUGGAUCUUGGCUAACCCAAACUUUUUUACUUUAUGUUUAUUCAGCUUUAAUUCUGAGGGUAUUUAAGUCUAUUUAAGUGGAUUUUCUGUUAUUUUUGAAAGAUUUUAUAAAAAAUGACAUUUAUGAAAUUGAGUGUUAAAUUUUGGCUAUUAUUGAUAAAAACUCAAUAAAAAUUAUCCCGUAAGUAUACAAGAUUAAGUUUAAGACGUCUUAAUAAUCAGAAGAUGCCUUUAUACAUUAUCCUUUCAUCAAUCAUGUUACAUGACAAAAAAAUGAGGUGUUGACUUAUAAGAACUAGCUAAAGGUAGCAUAUUCCUUUCUUUCUUUGUGGUUUCAACCUAUCCUUGCCCUCCUUACUAAAUCAUGUAACACAAAUGCUAUUCACACAUCCCAUUUUAUUUCUCACACAAAUCUUGAUAAUUUAUGUCUGUUGAUCUUCUUCAAUUCAUUUAAUCUGAUGGUCGAAAAUUAAAAGAGUAUGUAGGAAGUAAAAUGGAAUGUGUGGAUAUCACACCCCUAAAUUAAUUGCGACAAAAUAGAUUUUCAAAUACUUUUAUACAUUUGAGUUUGAGCUCUAUUUUUAUCAAUUACUUUAAUAAGUUGGCGACUACAUGAUGGGAGGAGGCAUGCGUUGAUGCUUAUAGUUGGCGACUACAUGAGAAGAAGAGGGAUUCUCUGAACAUAUUAAAAACCUUAAAUGCAUUAAUAAGUUAAAUUAAACCACCACAGAAACAAGAAAGUUCAAAAAGAGAGAGCAUAUUAUAAACAGAUCAAGGCAUGCAAAAAAAUACACUCUAUCUGCAAACUAGCUGAUUAAACCAGAAAGUUUCCUAGCUUACAUAGUCGUCGUCGUCUUGGGCCUCCUCAUCAUCACCCUCUUCAUUAUCAUCCGCAACUUCUUGGUCCUGAUCAUCGUCUUAUUCCGCCUCGUCCUCAUCAACACCCUCAUCAUUAGCAUCAGCACAUUGUUGGUCCUCAUCAUCGUCUUGUUCCUCUUCCUCCUCAAAAUCCUCCUCAUCAUCCCCAUCAAAAUCCUCAUCGUGUUGUCAUCAUCCUCAUCAAAAUCAUCAUCUUCAUAAUCCUCGUCAAAAUCAUCGACUUCGGUAGAAAUUUCUUGUAAGGCCCGUUCGUAAGGGAUAUAAUGGUAAUCAAAAAACGAACCUUUGAAAGUCAUAAGUUUGUCGCAUACUAAACGUACCCCUAUUUUCUUCACCGGACAAUGUGCAAUAACAUGGACCAAAUCGCUUUCUUCCAAAUUGAACUCGAUUUCCGACAACGAUAAAUUUGCCAGCCAAAUGAUCUCUUCAAAGAAAAAAAAUCUCCUAGUUCAACACAAAAACUAGUACCCUUGGUGUGAUUAAUAACAUAAAUAUAACUCGGCCUGAUGUAAUCACGAGGAACAAAAGCCAGGCACACAGCCAAUGCUUUUGCAUUAGAACCAAUUUCCUUAGGCACUUCAAAAGAGACUUGGGUACCCUCGUUUACAUGAUUGAACCAAGUGGGAAUUUGUCUUCCUACAAAACUCAUGGUUCCACCUCCUGUCCAUCCCUAUACCAUGUGGAACAAGAUUUGUGUGAGUACUACAUACAUAACACACAUAUUUGUGAGGGGGGAAGAGAGGGGGGUGGUGUGGAAGAGAGAGAGUACCUGUAUCGUGCUAUCCUUAAGAAGGAAAUCCAUGACAUUGUUGUGUGUUGUCAUAUAAAGAUUGAGUCCCGAGUUUAACGCGCUAUCCAAGCCUGGAAACUCAAUGAGUUUCGGGGAAAAAAGAAUCACUGCUGUCGACAUGCCUGAAAAAUCUGGCAUUCUUUCUAAUACAGAGCAGUCGUCCAUGUGCAGGAAACCCAAACUUUUUGGUAAAUCUGUAAUCUCAACAAGGUUUCUGCAACCAUUCAAGGAUAAUACAAGAAGCUUGGAGAGGCCACUGAGGCUUGGAAGGCUCCCAAAAUUAUUGUCAUCUAGACUUAACUCCACUAAACAAGGUAGACUACUCCCAAUAUCAUUAGGCACUUCCUCUAUAUUGCUGUCCUCCAAAAUUAAGCUUGUCAAAGAGCGUAAACCUUGUAAGGAAGGUAGCUGCAAAGAACACUUCAAUUUACUCAAAGAUAUGCGCUCGAGCUUCUCUAGUCGUACGAUGGAAGGUGGUACUUUUUUUAUGGCCGUCCCAUCUGCAUAAAGAGUGACCAAUGAUGCCAUUUCUCCCAAGUGCUCAGACAAGCUUUGGAAUCUUGAACAACCAUCGAGAACAAGAGUUUUGACAGAUUUCAACUUGUAGAAACUCCUCGGAAGAGCCUUAAGCGUUUCACAGUCCUUCAAAUUCACCAACACAAGACUCUUGAGAUCUCCGAUGGACUUGUGAACUUUAGCCAACCUCUUACAGUCUUUGAGUAUCAAUUUCUCAAGAUUUGGGAAUUUCGAAAAGUUUGGCGAUUGUGUUAGAUCGUGGGAGUGGCUGAGAUUCAGAAUCUUCAACUUAUCAAGCAACUGUUAAGAAAAAUCAAGUUGAAAUAAAAAAUUUAAAUCCAAAAAGAAGAUACAAAAAACAUAAAAAUAAUUCCAAAUUUGGUUCAGGUUACGCAUUGUACUUACCCCAGAAUACCCACAAAGAACUUGUCUGAGGCUGCUGUACUGCAUGUCGAUAACAACUGUGUUUGGUUGACAAAGUUCUAUUGGUAUGAACUCCAAUGGGAAUCCAUGCCAGCACAACCAUCUUAAUUUUUUGGAAAGAUAUUGGUAUUGCCCAGUGAGCCGAACGUAGUUUAGUUGGAGCAAUCUCAGUCUCUUCAUAUUUCUAAACGCCUCAGUACUGAAACUAGUCUCUUCAGGACUUGGCAAAUUCAAAGCCAGACCUUCAAUUUUUUCAGUUCCCUGCUAUCCGAAAAAACAGACUCCAAAUAAGAGAAGGCUUUGCAUGAAAAAAAGUAUAUUACUAACUUACAUAUGCUUACACAUUUAACAUAAAGUUUGAUUGGGAAAGUACUUACAAAUUUGUCUAUCAAUACAUCAUUUACAUCUUCAGGAUGCCACAAUCUACUCCGUUCUAUAGGGAAAUCAGGAUUUUCUGCAUGCACGAUAUCUCUGCCCAUAUCCCGAAGCAAAUCAUGCAUCAUAAUCUUGUUUUCUCUAUUAAUAGUUACAAGGCACCGGUCAAGGAGGACCUUGAUUCCUGUUGUUGCAUAAAAGCCACAACCAUCCAAGAUUUGUAUGACAUCGUUCUUGUUCAUUCCGAUAAAAAAACAAGCUAUAUCGAGGAAUAUCCGCCUUUUGUAAUUAUCAUUUAGCCUGUUGUAGCUUAUUUUCAGUUGUGCCUGAAUUUCUGCACGAGGAAUUAUUUUCAAUUCAUCCAAUAUACUUCUCCAUUCAUCUACGCUUCGUUUGAAAAGAGUAGAUCCUAAAACUUCAAGAGCCAGCGGCAAUCCUCCACAGUAAUUGACAACUUCUCUUUCGAGCGCAAGAUAUUGACUAGGACAACUACUACUUCUGAAAGCAUGCCAACUUAGGAGCUCAAGAGCUUCUUCUCGGUCCAUUACUUUCGCCUGAUAUAUCUUAUCAACUGCAAAUUCUUUUAGCACACUUUCGUUUCUAGUUGUGAUGAUGAUUCUGCUCCCCGGGCCAAAAAAGUGGCAAUUUCCAACUAAUUCGCGUAAUUGCUUCACAUCGUCUACAUCAUCAACUAUGACAAGUACCUUUAAGCGUCGAAAUCUUUCCCUUACCAAGGCGGUCCCUGCAGCAACACUACUUACCUUUGUCUUGGUUUGCAAGAUAUCAAAAAGAAGUUGUUUUUGCAAUUUUUCUAGUUUCUUUUCCCUCACUUUUUCAAGGAAACUUUUACCUUCAAACCUUUCAUAAAAUUCGUUAUAAAUGGCUUUAGCAAUUGUUGUUUUACCUAUUCCACCCAUGCCUGAAAUUCCAAUCACACGAACAUCAUCUGAAUCUCCGAUGCCUAAAUAAUUACUGAUAUCUAGCACUCGAGUAUCUAUUCCGACUUGAUAGAGCGCUACGUCAAAGUAUUUGUUGUUCAACUUCGUAGUGACGUCAUUGGUAAUCAUCCUGAUAAACUUUGCUUCAUGCCUGGCAUUAGUCAAGUUGAGAAGCAAAACGAAGAUUGUUAUACAACGAAAUCGAACUAAUUAAUACACAAAAUUAUUUAUCAUGACUAGAGAUUUUAAUUAAGACAAUUUUUUUUGAGGUGGUGUGUUUAAACUUAGCAAACAUCAAUUAAAAUUAAAAUAAAGAAACACAAACAAAAAAACCAGCAUCCCUUCCCUCCGCAGCCAAUCGCCGGCAGCUUCCCAGCUGUGAUUAGUGUAGCCUUAACAGUUUAAGCUUUAUUGUAUGAUUUUAUUACAGAGGUCUAAGAAAUCGUAUGAUUCCAAAUUAAUAAGCAAAGGUACGUUAAAGCCUUAAUUCAUAAGAAAAGAAAUUAGAAAGUACCCGUCUAAAGUGUUUCUGAGAUCCCAGCCAGACAAAUUCGAAGCUUCAGUAAGAGCAGCUCUCCACCUCUCUACCUUUUUUCAUCUGUAUGUUUCAGAAACGAUUGUGCAAAACUACAAGUCUGUUUCCUAACAUGCGAAGGAUCAACGUCAUAGAAUAUUGGCAAAACUAAUUGCCCUAGCGUUCUUCUACACUCCAUGAUCUUAACCAGCUCCUCGAGACACCAGCUGGAGUCCGAGUACCGUCUUGAGAAGACGAUGAUAGAGAUCCUAGAACCCUGGAUUGCAUGCACAAGUUCGGUAGUUAUAUCUUCUCCUCUUCUUAGUUCGUCGUCAAUAAAGGUGUUGAUUCCGGCCUUUGUCAAUGCUUCGUGGAGGUGGCCCACGAAGUUUUUACGUGUGUCUUCACCUCUGAAGCUUAUGAACACUUCGUAGAGCAAGCCUUUUGAGAAGGAAGACAUGGAUGGGGAGGUGGAGGCGGAUGAUGAGGAUGAGAUUGAGGGUGAGGAGGUGGAGGAGGACGAUGAGGAGGAGGUGGAGGAGGACGAUGAGGAUGAGGGCGAGGAGGAGGAUGAGGACGAGGUUUUAUCGGGGACGGAGAUAUUCAUUUAGCGAAAGACGAGGCCUAGGGAGUAGAGGAGGAAGAUGAGGACAUCAUAGACAAGAUCGGAAUUGCGAGCCGUAAAGUGGUUGGACACUAACACCAGCACCAAAGUUAACAGCUUCCCUAAGCUCGACCAGGUAUCCAUUUCCUUCAUUUUCUUUAUGCAAAUUGAAGGUUUUUGGCUAUAUUGAUUUUCUU
Molecule: long non-coding RNA, 18670 nt
Filed under: Malus domestica (apple)
Lineage: Eukaryota; Viridiplantae; Streptophyta; Magnoliopsida; Rosales; Rosaceae
Description: long non-coding RNA (MDOM_LNC011684)
Source: RNAcentral